GGGUUGUGAGGUUAAGCGACUAAGCGUACACGGUGGAUGCCCUGGCAGUCAGAGGCGAUGAAGGACGUGCUAAUCUGCGAUAAGCGUCGGUAAGGUGAUAUGAACCGUUAUAACCGGCGAUUUCCGAAUGGGGAAACCCAGUGUGUUUCGACACACUAUCAUUAACUGAAUCCAUAGGUUAAUGAGGCGAACCGGGGGAACUGAAACAUCUAAGUACCCCGAGGAAAAGAAAUCAACCGAGAUUCCCCCAGUAGCGGCGAGCGAACGGGGAGCAGCCCAGAGCCUGAAUCAGUGUGUGUGUUAGUGGAAGCGUCUGGAAAGGCGCGCGAUACAGGGUGACAGCCCCGUACACAAAAAUGCACAUGCUGUGAGCUCGAUGAGUAGGGCGGGACACGUGGUAUCCUGUCUGAAUAUGGGGGGACCAUCCUCCAAGGCUAAAUACUCCUGACUGACCGAUAGUGAACCAGUACCGUGAGGGAAAGGCGAAAAGAACCCCGGCGAGGGGAGUGAAAAAGAACCUGAAACCGUGUACGUACAAGCAGUGGGAGCACGCUUAGGCGUGUGACUGCGUACCUUUUGUAUAAUGGGUCAGCGACUUAUAUUCUGUAGCAAGGUUAACCGAAUAGGGGAGCCGAAGGGAAACCGAGUCUUAACUGGGCGUUAAGUUGCAGGGUAUAGACCCGAAACCCGGUGAUCUAGCCAUGGGCAGGUUGAAGGUUGGGUAACACUAACUGGAGGACCGAACCGACUAAUGUUGAAAAAUUAGCGGAUGACUUGUGGCUGGGGGUGAAAGGCCAAUCAAACCGGGAGAUAGCUGGUUCUCCCCGAAAGCUAUUUAGGUAGCGCCUCGUGAAUUCAUCUCCGGGGGUAGAGCACUGUUUCGGCAAGGGGGUCAUCCCGACUUACCAACCCGAUGCAAACUGCGAAUACCGGAGAAUGUUAUCACGGGAGACACACGGCGGGUGCUAACGUCCGUCGUGAAGAGGGAAACAACCCAGACCGCCAGCUAAGGUCCCAAAGUCAUGGUUAAGUGGGAAACGAUGUGGGAAGGCCCAGACAGCCAGGAUGUUGGCUUAGAAGCAGCCAUCAUUUAAAGAAAGCGUAAUAGCUCACUGGUCGAGUCGGCCUGCGCGGAAGAUGUAACGGGGCUAAACCAUGCACCGAAGCUGCGGCAGCGACGCUUAUGCGUUGUUGGGUAGGGGAGCGUUCUGUAAGCCUGCGAAGGUGUGCUGUGAGGCAUGCUGGAGGUAUCAGAAGUGCGAAUGCUGACAUAAGUAACGAUAAAGCGGGUGAAAAGCCCGCUCGCCGGAAGACCAAGGGUUCCUGUCCAACGUUAAUCGGGGCAGGGUGAGUCGACCCCUAAGGCGAGGCCGAAAGGCGUAGUCGAUGGGAAACAGGUUAAUAUUCCUGUACUUGGUGUUACUGCGAAGGGGGGACGGAGAAGGCUAUGUUGGCCGGGCGACGGUUGUCCCGGUUUAAGCGUGUAGGCUGGUUUUCCAGGCAAAUCCGGAAAAUCAAGGCUGAGGCGUGAUGACGAGGCACUACGGUGCUGAAGCAACAAAUGCCCUGCUUCCAGGAAAAGCCUCUAAGCAUCAGGUAACAUCAAAUCGUACCCCAAACCGACACAGGUGGUCAGGUAGAGAAUACCAAGGCGCUUGAGAGAACUCGGGUGAAGGAACUAGGCAAAAUGGUGCCGUAACUUCGGGAGAAGGCACGCUGAUAUGUAGGUGAAGUCCCUCGCGGAUGGAGCUGAAAUCAGUCGAAGAUACCAGCUGGCUGCAACUGUUUAUUAAAAACACAGCACUGUGCAAACACGAAAGUGGACGUAUACGGUGUGACGCCUGCCCGGUGCCGGAAGGUUAAUUGAUGGGGUUAGCGCAAGCGAAGCUCUUGAUCGAAGCCCCGGUAAACGGCGGCCGUAACUAUAACGGUCCUAAGGUAGCGAAAUUCCUUGUCGGGUAAGUUCCGACCUGCACGAAUGGCGUAAUGAUGGCCAGGCUGUCUCCACCCGAGACUCAGUGAAAUUGAACUCGCUGUGAAGAUGCAGUGUACCCGCGGCAAGACGGAAAGACCCCGUGAACCUUUACUAUAGCUUGACACUGAACAUUGAGCCUUGAUGUGUAGGAUAGGUGGGAGGCUUUGAAGUGUGGACGCCAGUCUGCAUGGAGCCGACCUUGAAAUACCACCCUUUAAUGUUUGAUGUUCUAACGUGGACCCGUAAUCCGGGUUGCGGACAGUGUCUGGUGGGUAGUUUGACUGGGGCGGUCUCCUCCUAAAGAGUAACGGAGGAGCACGAAGGUUGGCUAAUCCUGGUCGGACAUCAGGAGGUUAGUGCAAUGGCAUAAGCCAGCUUGACUGCGAGCGUGACGGCGCGAGCAGGUGCGAAAGCAGGUCAUAGUGAUCCGGUGGUUCUGAAUGGAAGGGCCAUCGCUCAACGGAUAAAAGGUACUCCGGGGAUAACAGGCUGAUACCGCCCAAGAGUUCAUAUCGACGGCGGUGUUUGGCACCUCGAUGUCGGCUCAUCACAUCCUGGGGCUGAAGUAGGUCCCAAGGGUAUGGCUGUUCGCCAUUUAAAGUGGUACGCGAGCUGGGUUUAGAACGUCGUGAGACAGUUCGGUCCCUAUCUGCCGUGGGCGCUGGAGAACUGAGGGGGGCUGCUCCUAGUACGAGAGGACCGGAGUGGACGCAUCACUGGUGUUCGGGUUGUCAUGCCAAUGGCACUGCCCGGUAGCUAAAUGCGGAAGAGAUAAGUGCUGAAAGCAUCUAAGCACGAAACUUGCCCCGAGAUGAGUUCUCCCUGACUCCUUGAGAGUCCUGAAGGAACGUUGAAGACGACGACGUUGAUAGGCCGGGUGUGUAAGCGCAGCGAUGCGUUGAGCUAACCGGUACUAAUGAACCGUGAGGCUUAACCUUACAACGCCGAAGCUGUU
This 2930-nucleotide ribosomal RNA is filed under the name Escherichia coli. Its description in RNAcentral is "bacterial LSU rRNA". It matches the Rfam family "Bacterial large subunit ribosomal RNA". Lineage: Bacteria; Pseudomonadati; Pseudomonadota; Gammaproteobacteria; Enterobacterales; Enterobacteriaceae. The record is from RNAcentral.